UUACUGGAAACUAAAUAUGUCACGUAGACACAUGUCUAUUGGGAGGAAAGCGUAUAUAAAACAGUUUAGUCUAUCAACUCUAAUU
Caenorhabditis elegans is the source of this 85-nucleotide non-coding RNA. The record is from Ensembl. Lineage: Eukaryota; Metazoa; Nematoda; Chromadorea; Rhabditida; Rhabditidae.